Molecule: non-coding RNA, 318 nt
Organism: Apaloderma vittatum (bar-tailed trogon)
Lineage: Eukaryota; Metazoa; Chordata; Aves; Trogoniformes; Trogonidae
Source: the annotation of a RefSeq genome assembly
UUAACCCCACCGUGGAGGUCACCAUCCUGCCGCCAUCUUUGGAGGACCUCUACCUCCAGCAGAGCGCCAACCUCACCUGCGUGGCCUCCAACCUCAAGUCCCCCGACGACGUCAAGUUCUCCUGGAGCCGCCAGAAGGCCGGCGCCGCCUUGGAGGUCACCCCCGGCGCCCCGUCCGAGUUGGCCAACGGCCUCUACAGCGUCUCCAGCAGCCUGAAGCUCUGCGCCGACGAGUGGGACUCUGGUGAGACCUUCACCUGCACCGUGAAACUUCCGGAACUGGACGAGGAGAUCAAGAGGCCCAUCCGGAAGGAGAUAG